Molecule: ribosomal RNA, 1413 nt
Filed under: Triticum aestivum (bread wheat)
Lineage: Eukaryota; Viridiplantae; Streptophyta; Magnoliopsida; Poales; Poaceae
Description: partial small subunit ribosomal RNA
Source: RNAcentral
AUGGCUGCUUCACCGACGCUCCGUCACGUGGCCAUGCUCCCCUUCAUGGCAAAGGGCCACGCCAUGCCGCUCAUCCACCUCGCGCGCCUCCUUCUUGGCCGCCGCCUUGCCUCGGCCGUCACCUUCUUCACCACCCCGCGCAACGCGCCCUUCAUCCGCGCGGGCCUCGCUGGUGCCGGCGGCGGCGCCGCGGUCGUCGAGCUUCCAUUCCCCUCCGAGCAGGACGCCCCGCAGAGCACGGACGAGCUCCCAUCGUCGACCAGUCUUGUCGACUUCGUCACCGCGGUGGCGGCGCUCCAGCCGGCGUUCGCGGACGCGCUCGCCAAGAUCGAGCCCAGGCCGGACCUGCUCGUCCACGACGGCUUCCUCCGGUGGGCCAAGGACAUCGCCGACGAGCUCGGCAUGCCGCGGCUUGUCACCCUCGGCUUCGGCGGCUUCGCCACGUACGUCAAUCGGGCAGUGACGGCACACAGGCCGCACGCACGCGUGAGCUCGCCAUCCGAGCCGUUCCCGGUCCACGGUGUGCCGGACCUCCGCCUCACGAAGGCCGACCUCAACCCGCCGUUCGACGACCCGGAGCCUUCCGGCCCGCACUGGGACUUCAUUUGCAAGAACCGCAUCAGCAUGUACUCCAGCCGGGGCAUCAUCGUCAACUCCUUCCACGAGCUGGAGUCGAUCUACAUCGACCUGUGGAACCGGGAGUUCGACAUCAAGAUGUGGCCGAUCGGACCGCUCUCUCUCGCGGCCUCCGAACCGGCGGUCCAGACCAAGGACGACCGUGAGAUCUCAGAGUGGCUCGACUCGAGGCUCGCCAUGGACCGGCCGGUCCUCUAUGUCGCGUUCGGAUCGCAGGCCGAGCUGAGCCGGGCGCAGCUGGAAGAGAUCGCCGUCGGGUUGGACAACUCCGGUGUAGACUUCUUAUGGGUGGUCCGGUCCAAAUGGCUCAAUCCAGAUGACCGGUUCAAUGACUGGUUCGGAGACAGGGGCAAGGUGGUGGAAGGUUUCAUCAACCAGCUCGGAGUUCUGAGUCACAAAUCAGUGAGAGGAUUUUUCACACACUGCGGAUGGAACUCGGUGCUGGAGAGCAUCGUCAUGGGUGUGCCAAUGCUGUCGUUCCCAAUGGCGGCCGAGCAGAAGCUCAAUGCCAAAUUCGUCGUGGACGUGAUCCAUGUGGGGCUCCGAGUUCGGCCGAAGGAAGACGCCAACAAGGGAGGUAGUGGGUUGGUUAUGAGUGGAGACGUGCAGGUGUUGGCAAGGGAACUGAUCUUGGGAGAGGAAGGGAAACGCGCCGCUGCUAGAGCUGGUGAGCUCUCCCUGUCUUCUAGAAAGACCAUGGAUAUAGGUGGCUCCUCGUUUGAAAACCUUGCAAAGAUGGUUCAGGAGGUCAGUGAGACCCAUGCCAAUGGUGAGUAA